Molecule: transfer RNA, 76 nt
Filed under: Arcobacter defluvii
Lineage: Bacteria; Pseudomonadati; Campylobacterota; Epsilonproteobacteria; Campylobacterales; Arcobacteraceae
Also listed under: 2 other names
Description: tRNA-Glu
Rfam family: tRNA
About the family: Transfer RNA (tRNA) molecules are approximately 80 nucleotides in length.
Source: RNAcentral
GACCCUGUCGUCUAGUGGCCAAGGACGUCUGGAUUUCCUCCAGAACACGCAAGUUCGAAUCUUGCUGGGGUCGCCA